RNAcentral lists this ribosomal RNA (253 nucleotides) under uncultured bacterium. Its description in RNAcentral is "partial 16S ribosomal RNA". It matches the Rfam family "Bacterial small subunit ribosomal RNA", at positions 524 to 776 of the family's 1533-position model. The record is from RNAcentral.
UACGAAGGGGGCUAGCGUUGCUCGGAAUGACUGGGCGUAAAGGGCGCGUAGGCGGCUUGCACAGUCAGGCGUGAAAUUCCUGGGCUCAACCUGGGGACUGCGCUUGAGACGUGUGGGCUUGAGUGGGGAAGAGGGUCGUGGAAUUCCCAGUGUAGAGGUGAAAUUCGUAGAUAUUGGGAAGAACACCGGUGGCGAAGGUGGCGACCUGGUCCUUGACUGACGCUGAGGCGCGAAAGCGUGGGGAGCAAACAGG